CAGAUCACAUGGGUUUCAAGAUCCCAUUGCAAGGAUUUCAUUUUGAUUAUGUUUUCCACUGGACCGUUCUUAAGUAUCAGCAGUCGCAAAUGGCCGUUCCACCGCGCACUAUGGUUGGUACAGUCCAUGGAUGAAAAUUAUUUUAUGAAAAUGAUUUGUUAUUUACAGGCUGCAGUAGCAUGUCAAAUCUCCCGGAUAGUUCCUAUGGCAAAUAAUAGGCUGUCAGGCAUUUAAUCAAUGGGGUUAUUACCCUCUAAUUUUGAUCCGUUCAUGGGCUUUUGCAUCUAUCAAUCGACUUUAUGACUUUACCAAUCCCGGACACAAGAUAUUUUUGCUCUCCUUUCUUGAUGUUGGGUUUGCUUGACUUAUGGGCCUUUUCAAUUCCAUUGCUUAUCAACUCUUCUGUGCGCCGAGCCAUUACAGAAAGAAUUGACACAUUCCUACCCGAGAGAAUUAAAAGAAGCCUUCCUAGAUUGUCAAGAUUGAGAAGUCAACAGGAAAAUGAACUGACUUCUCUCAUUGUCAACUUGGGAGUUUGAGGCAUACUUUUGGGUUCUAAAAUUUGAAGGUUAUACUACAUUGAUGUAGGAACAAUUGUUCAGCAUAGACAAUCUGGUUCAGGUACACUUGGUUCCACUGGCCCCAUUGCUGAUUGUCUUUGACACUGUUGAGGUUCAGGUACACUUGGAGUUGGUUCCACUGGGUUUAUUGCUGAUUGUGUUUAGCACUGUUGGUGUGCUGAAGUUUAAUUGUUGCAUGGUAUAUAGGAUGUUAGGAGAUAG
Setaria italica (foxtail millet) is the source of this 782-nucleotide long non-coding RNA. RefSeq lists it as uncharacterized. The record is from RefSeq and is a predicted model, not a curated record. The transcript is spliced from 5 exons. Lineage: Eukaryota; Viridiplantae; Streptophyta; Magnoliopsida; Poales; Poaceae.